AAAAAAAAUGAUGAGGAUUUCUCUUCCAGGAAGGCAUUCGAGAAUUGCCACUAGAAACUGACUGGAAAUAAUGAAAAGCUUCCAUUCUGUCUGAAGAGGACAAGCUUUCUUGUGAGGCAUCAAAAUGCUUCAGGCUCUUCAAACAGCAACACAUCAGUGCCUGUGCGAUGCAGGGCUGCUGGGGUGGGAACAACACAUCCAUACCACUCAGCAGGGCUUGUUGUAGUACCUUCAGAGCAGUGCAGCUGGUUGUGCUUCAAGAACAGGCAUCAUCAUGCAGUGCUACCUGCACAUCAACGGGAUGUGCAGAACUGCUUCUUGUUGGGAUAACAGCAGCAGGAGUUUCAUCUGGAAGGUCUACCAGAAACCUGUCAGUGGAUGGCACUUGCUUUUUACAGUGCUGGUGUCUGGGAGGUGAUGGACUACAACAGACUCAGGAUUGCAAUACCAAGCUACUGAAAUUGCUGUUCUCUUGUUCUGUCCCUGCUUAGCAUCAGAAUGGGCCUGAAGUAUAUUCAUUUAUUUUUUUUUUUUAGUAUGAAAACACAACAGAAAUGUUAUAUUUGGACUUCAGUGAAGCUGCUCCCAGUCAGCAAAUUCUCUGUGUGUUUGCCUUGCCCCAGCUCUAUGUCCUUCUCACACCAGUCUAUGCCCACGUGCACAGCUGCUGCUGCAUUGUAUACGUGGCACACAGCUCUCACCCUGAUACUGACUCCAGGAUUUGGACCUGUAACAAAUAGGAAGCUCUUUCCACACACGAGAAGUGUUGUUUGUUUUUGUUUUUUUUUUUCCCUGUGCUACUUGUUAAUAGCAAUUUACAAGUCUUUUGUAGCUCCUGAUUAUAAUCUAACUCGUACUAUUCAUAUUUUGUGGAUUAAUUAAUUUUUCUGUAUUACUUUUCCUGUAAACUUUGUCGGCAUGUAUAUUCAUGAAAAGAACAGAGGGGAAAAAAUCCCAGAAAUUACCAAAAGAAAAACCCCUGCUAAAAGCAAUAAGUUUGCUGACAGAUGGUAGAAUCAGUUGAAAAUCGAGUACCAUAUUUACUAAGUCUAACCCAUUUAGUAAGCCAGAAAAGUGUUAUCUAAUUCUAUCCCCUGUGUGUUUGUGUUUUGGAAUAAACAGAUGCCUAAU
Molecule: long non-coding RNA, 1131 nt
Filed under: Gallus gallus (chicken)
Lineage: Eukaryota; Metazoa; Chordata; Aves; Galliformes; Phasianidae
Description: lncRNA (ENSGALG00010013507.1)
Source: RNAcentral